UCAUAGGACUAAGUCCCCACUGGAAGACAGAAGAAGCACUGCUGUACCAAAGCAACAAUAACACUUGUGGCGUGUUCAUGAUUCUCCACAGAAGAAGAAGUCUUAAUGUAUUCUCGGUCGACCUUCGUGUGAAAAAUUCUUCCGUACGUGAAGGCCCGAGCGUGGACUGCAUUGCAAAGUUUAAUCAAACUAGAAGAGGGAUGAAAGGCUACGAGCUAUAUACUCCAGAUUGUCAGCAGAAGGUGGAAAACUACCAUGACGUAUUUUCCUCCGUGCUAAAACAAACGUCUUUUUAGUGAGCUGCGGUGUUUCCUGCUUCGACAGAGAUUAAAUAAUAUUCUGCAGAC
This is a long non-coding RNA of Rhipicephalus sanguineus (brown dog tick), 347 nucleotides long. RefSeq lists it as uncharacterized. The transcript is spliced from 2 exons. Lineage: Eukaryota; Metazoa; Arthropoda; Arachnida; Ixodida; Ixodidae. The record is from RefSeq and is a predicted model, not a curated record.